UCUGGAGGGUCCAAACUCAAACCUAACAUUCUUGAGGUACUACAAGCCUUAGGAGAGAAGCCAUUUGCCAUAAAAUGUCCAAAAUACAUUUGAAGUGAUGAUCAUCAUCAAUGGCUUUGGGUGAAGGUUGUCUGUAAUUGCCAAGUCAACAUUUACCGAGCCAAUAUCUGGUGCCUCUCACAAGCUGAAGAAUAUAUAGAAAAACCAACAUUCGUCCCAUUUGAUCUUGCAGCUACCAGACUUGUGUUGGACAAGGAGCCUUGCCCUGUAUUACUCAAACUGGAGCGGUGGAGGUAGAGUCCGGGGAUAUUUUCACUAUCUGUGUUCUUCCCAGAAUUCCUAUAUGGCCUGGAGGUAGACUCCGGAGAUAUUAAAAUUUCACUGUCGUGUUCUUCCAAGAAUUCCCUUAGAGUCUGGAGCAGAGCAAACCACCAGAAUAGUCUGUAAUGGAACCUUAGUUUUUUCUCAUGGAUAAUUUUGACAAUUUUAUUGUAUUAUUGUACAGAUGGCAUUUUCUAGGGUUAAGGAAAUUCAGUGUAGCAUUGUACUGACAUUUUUAUGAAUUAUCUUCGGUUACGAAAAUUUAAUUUUGUAUUGUUUACUUGAUAUUUUCUAGGAUUUAUCUGGAGAUAUAGAAAUUAAUGCAUUAUUGUAUUAUACUUUAUAUGAUUUAUUUGGGUUAUUUUAAUUAUUCAACUGUAUAACUCUC
Long non-coding RNA from Saccostrea echinata, 709 nucleotides. RefSeq lists it as uncharacterized. The transcript has 3 exons. The record is from RefSeq and is a predicted model, not a curated record. NCBI's taxonomy places the organism in Eukaryota, Metazoa, Mollusca, Bivalvia, Ostreida, Ostreidae.